This 332-nucleotide ribosomal RNA is filed under the name uncultured Litorilinea sp. Its description in RNAcentral is "bacterial SSU rRNA". It matches the Rfam family "Bacterial small subunit ribosomal RNA", at positions 568 to 898 of the family's 1533-position model. The record is from RNAcentral. Lineage: Bacteria; Bacillati; Chloroflexota; Caldilineae; Caldilineales; Caldilineaceae.
CACGCAGGCGGUCUUUUAAGUUUGACGUGAAAGCUCCCGGCUUAACUGGGAGAGGUCGUUGAAGACUGGAAGACUUGAGGCAAUGAGAGGGGUGUAGAAUUCCCGGUGUAGUGGUGGAAUGCGUAGAUAUCGGGGGGAAUACCAGUGGCGAAAGCGGCACCCUAGCGUUAGCCUGACGCUCAUGUGCGAAAGCGUGGGGAGCGAACGGGAUUAGAUACCCCGGUAGUCCACGCUGUAAACGAUGAACACUAGGUGUAGGUGAUGUGAAAGUUAUCUGUACCGAAGCCAACGCGUUAAGUGUUCCGCCUGGGGAGUACGGCCGCAAGGCUAAA